RNAcentral lists this ribosomal RNA (1416 nucleotides) under uncultured Ralstonia sp. RNAcentral's name for it is "16S ribosomal RNA". It matches the Rfam family "Bacterial small subunit ribosomal RNA". Lineage: Bacteria; Pseudomonadati; Pseudomonadota; Betaproteobacteria; Burkholderiales; Burkholderiaceae. The record is from RNAcentral.
AGCUUGCUAGAUUGAUGGCGAGUGGCGAACGGGUGAGUAAUACAUCGGAACGUGCCCUGUAGUGGGGGAUAACUAGUCGAAAGAUUAGCUAAUACCGCAUACGACCUGAGGGUGAAAGUGGGGGACCGCAAGGCCUCAUGCUAUAGGAGCGGCCGAUGUCUGAUUAGCUAGUUGGUGAGGUAAAGGCUCACCAAGGCGACGAUCAGUAGCUGGUCUGAGAGGACGAUCAGCCACACUGGGACUGAGACACGGCCCAGACUCCUACGGGAGGCAGCAGUGGGGAAUUUUGGACAAUGGGGGCAACCCUGAUCCAGCAAUGCCGCGUGUGUGAAGAAGGCCUUCGGGUUGUAAAGCACUUUUGUCCGGAAAGAAAUCGCACUUACUAAUAUUAGGUGUGGAUGACGGUACCGGAAGAAUAAGGACCGGCUAACUACGUGCCAGCAGCCGCGGUAAUACGUAGGGUCCAAGCGUUAAUCGGAAUUACUGGGCGUAAAGCGUGCGCAGGCGGUUGUGCAAGACCGAUGUGAAAUCCCCGGGCUUAACCUGGGAAUUGCAUUGGUGACUGCACGGCUAGAGUGUGUCAGAGGGGGGUAGAAUUCCACGUGUAGCAGUGAAAUGCGUAGAGAUGUGGAGGAAUACCGAUGGCGAACGCAGCCCCCUGGGAUAACACUGACGCUCAUGCACGAAAGCGNNNGGGGAGCAAACAGGAUUAGAUACCNUGGUAGUCCACGCCUAAACGAUGUCAACUAGUUGUUGGGGAUUCAUUUCCUUAGUAACGUAGCUAACGCGUGAAGUUGACCGCCUGGGGAGUACGGUCGCAAGAUUAAAACUCAAAGGAAUUGACGGGGACCCGCACAAGCGGUGGAUGAUGUGGAUUAAUUCGAUGCAACGCGAAAAACCUUACCUACCCUUGACAUGCCACUAACGAAGCAGAGAUGCAUUAGGUGCUCGAAAGAGAAAGUGGACACAGGUGCUGCAUGGCUGUCGUCAGCUCGUGUCGUGAGAUGUUGGGUUAAGUCCCGCAACGAGCGCAACCCUUGUCUCUAGUUGCUACGAAAGGGCACUCUAGAGAGACUGCCGGUGACAAACCGGAGGAAGGUGGGGAUGACGUCAAGUCCUCAUGGCCCUUAUGGGUAGGGCUUCACACGUCAUACAAUGGUGCAUACAGAGGGUUGCCAAGCCGCGAGGUGGAGCUAAUCCCAGAAAAUGCAUCGUAGUCCGGAUCGUAGUCUGCAACUCGACUACGUGAAGCUGGAAUCGCUAGUAAUCGCGGAUCAGCAUGCCGCGGUGAAUACGUUCCCGGGUCUUGUACACACCGCCCGUCACACCAUGGGAGUGGGUUUUGCCAGAAGUAGUUAGCCUAACCGCAAGGGGGGCGAUUACCACGGCAGGGUUCAUGACUGGGGUGAAGUCGUA